Molecule: ribosomal RNA, 367 nt
Filed under: uncultured bacterium
Lineage: Bacteria
Description: bacterial SSU rRNA
Rfam family: Bacterial small subunit ribosomal RNA
Source: RNAcentral
AACGAACGCUGGCGGCAUGCCUAACACAUGCAAGUCGAACGAGACCUUCGGGUCUAGUGGCGCACGGGUGCGUAACGCGUGGGAAUCUGCCCUUGGGUUCGGAAUAACAGUUAGAAAUGACUGCUAAUACCGGAUAAUGUCUUCGGACCAAAGAUUUAUCGCCCAGGGAUGAGCCCGCGUAGGAUUAGCUAGUUGGUGAGGUAAAGGCUCACCAAGGCGACGAUCCUUAGCUGGUCUGAGAGGAUGAUCAGCCACACUGGGACUGAGACACGGCCCAGACUCCUACGGGAGGCAGCAGUGGGGAAUAUUGCGCAAUGGGCGAAAGCCUGAUCCAGCAAUACCGCGUGUGUGAAGAAGGCCUCGGGUU